RNAcentral lists this ribosomal RNA (460 nucleotides) under uncultured bacterium. RNAcentral describes it as "partial 16S ribosomal RNA". It matches the Rfam family "Bacterial small subunit ribosomal RNA", at positions 338 to 795 of the family's 1533-position model. The record is from RNAcentral.
CCUACGGGAGGCAGCAGUGAGGAAUAUUGGUCAAUGGACGAGAGUCUGAACCAGCCAAGUAGCGUGAAGGAUGACUGCCCUAUGGGUUGUAAACUUCUUUUAUAUGGGAAUAAAAUGUUCCACGUGUGGGAUUUUGUAUGUACCAUAUGAAUAAGGAUCGGCUAACUCCGUGCCAGCAGCCGCGGUAAUACGGAGGAUCCGAGCGUUAUCCGGAUUUAUUGGGUUUAAAGGGAGCGUAGGUGGAUUGUUAAGUCAGUUGUGAAAGUUUGCGGCUCAACCGUAAAAUUGCAGUUGAAACUGGCAGUCUUGAGUACAGUAGAGGUGGGCGGAAUUCGUGGUGUGGCGGUGAAAUGCUUAGAUAUCACGAAGAACUCCGAUUGCGAAGGCAGUUCACUGGACUGCAACUGACACUGAGGCUCGAAAGUGUGGGUAUCAAACAGGAUUAGAUACCCCUGUAGUC